UUGGAGUGAGUCUCACUUAUAACUAUGUUGCUAUCCAAUUUUACUAAUUAGACAUAUAUUGUCUAUUUUGAUCAAUAUAUACAUUUUGCUACAUUGUCUGAACUUGAUUCAUUCUCAUCCAAUACUUAAAGGUCUUGGAAACAUACUGUUGAAACAUGAUAGAGAGCUCUCUGUAUACAACUUUGAAAAUAGCCGAUCAACAAUAAACUUUGCGCUCGCCGCCCACUAAUGACAAAACAAAAAUACCUUCUUGAAUGUAGCUAUACAAAAAAUCAUGGAGUGAAGCUAUUAGACACCUCUUGUGAGAAACUUCUGAGGCUAAAUUUGGUUUCUGUUGGAGUACCUACUAGUAUCUA
RNAcentral lists this long non-coding RNA (356 nucleotides) under Salvia miltiorrhiza (redroot sage). Its description in RNAcentral is "long non-coding RNA (SMIL_LNC010112)". The record is from RNAcentral. Lineage: Eukaryota; Viridiplantae; Streptophyta; Magnoliopsida; Lamiales; Lamiaceae.